GACGGUUGCCCAGAGCAAGGCCCAUGUAGCAUCCCUGGAGGGCCUCAUCCCUGAAGAUAAGGUUGUGCUUCUGGCAGGUUCUCCCUUACAGAAUGAAGCCACCCUGGGUCAGUGUGGGGUGGAAGCCCUGACAACCCUGGAAGUGGUUGGCCGCAGGCUAGGAGGUAAUAACUGCCUCUCACUGCAAGUCAACCCUGUACAACCAGCCAGAUAUUUGUGGACAACACUUCACAGCUCAAAACAAGGUGAACCUAACUCCUCAGCAAACCACAGAUGCUCCUGAAAGUCUCCAAGGCCAGAAGAAAACCCCUAAACAUAUACCACACUGUGGCAACUGUAGCCUAGAAGGUAACGAAUGAAGAACACAGCAAAUAUCUGAGAGUUGCUGCCUGAAGACACAGGACAAUGACCUCAGAAGGAUGGGGAUGGGCUGGAAAACCUCUGGUCUCUACCCUCCUUACAGCUGUGAUUUGCUUCUCCCUAGGAAGGUCCUGCUUCCAUGCUUCUCCCCAUACCCCACUCACUUGAGUGUCUCACACGGGAUGGUAACUAGAUGUAACACUUGCCAAGGGGUCAUUAUCACCUACUAAAUACAAAUAGAUGUCUAGCUUGUCUGUCCACAGAGAGGUGAAUGAUGAGAGAAUUCAAUCUCCUGGAAUCAAAAGAACUUUUUGGUGUGUAUUCUACAAAUUAAAAACUCAAUGACCAGCCGGGCAUGGUGACUCACGCCUGUAAUCCUAGCACUUUGGGAGGCUGAGGCAGGCAGAUUGCCUGAGCUCAAGAGUUCGAAGGCCGGGUGC
This 800-nucleotide long non-coding RNA is filed under the name Homo sapiens (human). RNAcentral describes it as "non-protein coding lnc-FRMD8-4:2". The record is from RNAcentral. Lineage: Eukaryota; Metazoa; Chordata; Mammalia; Primates; Hominidae.